GGAUCACAGAGGGUGUUGGUGUGACUGAGGACCAUGCCUUCCCUGGAAAGCUUUGCUCUGGCAAAGUGAAGGAUCCAUUUGGCAUUGUUUGGACCAUUGUUGGCAACAAGAGCACUACUGCUGCUUCUGAGUUUGGGGAUAACAACACCUCUGCGGCCGAGUUUGGGCAGAACAACACCAAUGAAGCUUAGCGGCUUCAAGCCAUCUUGUGUUAUCGGUGCUGUGACCGCUUUUGACUGUCGUUUGGUCUAAUAUUUAAUCUAGUAGCAAGUAUGAAUUAGCUAGUCUGAUUCUGGGUAGAUGUAGUGGCCUUAAUGUUUUGCCAUU
Molecule: long non-coding RNA, 327 nt
Filed under: Fragaria vesca (wild strawberry)
Lineage: Eukaryota; Viridiplantae; Streptophyta; Magnoliopsida; Rosales; Rosaceae
Description: long non-coding RNA (FVES_LNC000605)
Source: RNAcentral